GGGUCAUUAGGUUGGUCGUGCCACCGGUACGUACUGGACUCACUGAUUCCUCCUUCCUGAAGAACCGUAAUGCCAUUAAUUUGGUGUUGCGGGGAAACAGGACUGUUACUUUGAAAAAAUUAGAGUGUUUAAAGCAAGCUAACGCUUGAAUACAUUAGCAUGGAAUAAUGAAAUAGGACGAUCGAUCCUAUUUUGUUGGUUUCUAGGAUUGACGUA
This 216-nucleotide ribosomal RNA is filed under the name Glomeromycotina sp. Its description in RNAcentral is "partial small subunit ribosomal RNA". The stretch from base 40 to 216 matches the Rfam family "Eukaryotic small subunit ribosomal RNA", at positions 686 to 864 of the family's 1831-position model. Lineage: Eukaryota; Fungi; Glomeromycota. The record is from RNAcentral.